Molecule: long non-coding RNA, 1030 nt
Filed under: Mytilus galloprovincialis (Mediterranean mussel)
Lineage: Eukaryota; Metazoa; Mollusca; Bivalvia; Mytilida; Mytilidae
Source: RNAcentral
CCAUGUUUGAUUUCAUUCCAUUCAGUGGUUCUCUAAAAGAAGUCAUUUGUAUGCAUUUCCCAUAGGGUCCUAUGUUAAACUAAGUCCCCCGCUGGCGGCCAUCUUGGAUGAUGGAUUGGCUACAAAGUAACAACACUUGGUCAGCACUCCAUAAAGGAACAUUCAUGCUAUGUUUGGUUUCAUUCCAUUUAGUGGUUCUCUAGAAGAAGUCAUUUGUAUGCAUUUCCAUUAGGGUCCUAUGUUAAAACUAAGUCCCCGCUGGCGGCCAUCUUGGAUGAUGGAUCGGCUACAAAGUAACAACACUUGGUCAGCACUCCAUAAGGAACAUUCAUGCUAUGUUUGGUUUCAUUCCAUUUAGUGGUUCUCUAGAAGAAGUCAUUUGUAUGCAUUUCCCAUAGGGUCCUAUGUUAAACUAAGUCCCCCGCUGGCGGCCAUCUUGGAUGAUGGAUCGGCUACAAAGUAACAACACUUGGUCAGCACCCCAUAAGGAACAUUCAUGCUAUGUUUGGUUUUAUUCCAUUCAGUGGUUCUCUAAAAGAAGUCAUUUGUAUGCAUUUCCCAUAGGGUCCUAUGUUAAACUAAGUUCCCGGCUGGCGGCCAUCUUGGAUGAUGGAUCGGCAACAAAGUAACAACACUUGGUCAGCACCUCAUAAGGAACAUUCAUGCCAUGUUUGGUUUCAUUCAAUUCAGUGGUUCUCUAAAAGAAGUCAUUUGUAUGCAUUUCCCAUAGGGUCCUAUGUUAAACUAAGUCCCCGGCUAGCAGCCAUCUUGGAUGAUGGAUCGGCAACAAAGUAACAACACUUGGUCAGUACCUCAUAAGGAACAUUCAUGCCAUGUUUGGUUUCAUUCCAUUCAGUGGUUCUCUAAAAGAAGUCAUUUGUAUGCAUUUCCCAUAGGGUCCUAUGUUAAAACUAAGUCCCCGCUGGCGGCCAUCUUGGAUGAUGGAUCGGCUACAAAGUAACAACACUUGGUCAGCACCUCAUAAGGAACAUUCAUGCCAUGUUUGGUUCCAUUCCAUUCAGUGGUUCUC